RNAcentral lists this unclassified non-coding RNA (88 nucleotides) under Pseudomonas migulae. Lineage: Bacteria; Pseudomonadati; Pseudomonadota; Gammaproteobacteria; Pseudomonadales; Pseudomonadaceae. The record is from RNAcentral.
GUAGGAGCCGGCUUGCUGGCGAUAGCUUCCGAUCGGUCGAUAAACCCGUCGAUUGACCCAUCGCAAUCGCCAGCAAGCCGGCUCCUAC